Molecule: ribosomal RNA, 448 nt
Filed under: uncultured bacterium
Lineage: Bacteria
Description: bacterial SSU rRNA
Rfam family: Bacterial small subunit ribosomal RNA
Source: RNAcentral
UGGGGAAUUUUGCACAAUGGGCGAAAGCCUGAUGCAGCAACGCCGCGUGUGUGAUGAAGGUCUUCGGAUUGUAAAGCACUUUCGACCGGGACGAAAACCCGCUGGCUAACAUCCAGCGGUUUGACUGUACCGGGAGAAGAAGCACCGGCUAACUCUGUGCCAGCAGCCGCGGUAAUACAGAGGGUGCAAGCGUUGUUCGGAAUUAUUGGGCGUAAAGCGCGUGUAGGCGGCUUUGCAAGUCGGGUGUGAAAGCCCUCAGCUCAACUGAGGAAGUGCGCCCGAAACUGCAGAGCUUGAGUACCGGAGAGGAUGGCGGAAUUCCCGAAGUAGAGGUGAAAUUCGUAGAUAUCGGGAGGAACACCGGUGGCGAAGGCGGCCAUCUGGACGGAUACUGACGCUGAGACGCGAAAGCGUGGGGAGCAAACAGGAUUAGAUACCCCCGUAGUCC